This 528-nucleotide ribosomal RNA is filed under the name Eophreatoicus sp. 7 GDW-2019. RNAcentral describes it as "partial large subunit ribosomal RNA". It matches the Rfam family "Bacterial large subunit ribosomal RNA", at positions 1797 to 2621 of the family's 2925-position model. Lineage: Eukaryota; Metazoa; Arthropoda; Malacostraca; Isopoda; Amphisopidae. The record is from RNAcentral.
CGCCUGUUUAUCAAAAACAUAGUCUAAAGACCUCAUUUCAAACAGGACCUGCUCACUGAGCUAUUAAAGAGCCUCAGUUUACUGGCUGUGUGAAGUUAGCAAAAUAAUUUGUCUCUUAAUUAGAGACUAGAAUGAAUGGUCUGACGAGGAAAAAUCUAUCUCAAAAUUUUACUUAAAAUUAACUUGUAAGUCAAAAGGCUUAAAUACAUCAGCAAGACGACACGACCCUAUAAAACUUUACCCUUUAAUAUAUUAACCUCAGAAACAUCAUAAUAAGGGUUUAACUGGGGCGGUAUUUAUAUAAUUUCCAACUAUACAAACUCCACCAUAUGUUAAUGAACCAACGGAUCUUACAGGAAACGAAAGAGAGAGUUACUUUAGGGAUAACAACAUAAUACUCUUAAAGAGUCUUUAUCGACAAGUGAUUACGACCUCGAUGUUGAAUUGGGAAACCAUCUAAAAGCAGCCAUUUUGAGAAAAAGUCCGUUCGAUUUUUAAACCCUCACAUGAUCUGAGUUCAAACCGGAG